RNAcentral lists this long non-coding RNA (235 nucleotides) under Nicotiana benthamiana. RNAcentral describes it as "long non-coding RNA (NBEN_LNC030838)". The record is from RNAcentral. Lineage: Eukaryota; Viridiplantae; Streptophyta; Magnoliopsida; Solanales; Solanaceae.
UUUCCGUAAAAAUUGCUACUUCUUCUUACCUGCUAAAAUAUAAAAAUUAAUACGGGGCGGGGCAGGUUAUGUGGGUUUAUGCGUGUUCAAGUAAGAUUUCUUCUAAUUCUUCCUAAUCAGAUUUUUUUCCUUAACUAAAGUUCAUAAUGCUCUAUUGUUUUUGUUUUUGUCUUUGUUUUUGUUUUACUGUUGUUUUUCUUUUUAUCCUAUGCGCCGAGGGUCGAUUGGAAACAGC